AAAGAGCACGUAGGCGGACUGCCAAGCGUCUUGUGAAAUCCCCCGGCUCAACCGGGGAAUUGCUGGGCGAACUGGUAGUCUUGAGGCAAGUAGGGGCAGAUGGAACUCUUGGUGGAGCGGUGGAAUGCGUAGAUAUCAAGAGGAACGCCAGAGGCGAAGGCGAUCUGCUGGGCUUGACCUGACGCUGAGGUGCGAAAGCCAGGGGAGCAAACGGGAUUAGAUACCCCGGUAGUCCUGGCCAUAAACGAUGUCCACUAGAUCGGUGAACUUCUGACAGUGUGCCGGUCGAAACAAAAGCGUUAAGUGGACCGCCUGGGGAGUACGGUCGCAAGGCUAAAACUCAAAGGAAUUGACGGGGGCUCACACAAGCGGUGGAGCAUGUUGCUUAAUUCGAUGCAACGCGAAGAACCUUAUCCUGGGCUUGACAUGCUUGGAUGCCCAUCUGGAAACAGAGUAGGCUGCCCUUCGGGGUGAAACUUGCACAGGUGCUGCAUGGCUGUCGUCAGCUCGUGUCGUGAGAUGUUGGGUUAAGUCCCGUAACGAGCGAAACCCUUGUCGUUAGUUGCCAGCGCGUAAUGGCGGGGACUCUAGCGAGACUGCCGGUGUUAAACCGGAGGAAGGUGGGGAUGACGUCAAGUCCUCAUGGCCUUUAUGCCCAGGGCUGCAAACGUGCUACAAUGGCGAGGACAAACCGACGCAAAGCCGCGAGGUCGAGCAAAUCGGAGAAACCUUGCCCCAGUUCGGAUUGGAGUCUGCAACUCGACUCCAUGAAGUCGGAAUCGCUAG
RNAcentral lists this ribosomal RNA (786 nucleotides) under uncultured organism. RNAcentral's name for it is "bacterial SSU rRNA". It matches the Rfam family "Bacterial small subunit ribosomal RNA", at positions 562 to 1338 of the family's 1533-position model. The record is from RNAcentral.